AUGAUGGAUGAGGAACAAUAUGUAGAAAAGAAGUCAGAUACUUUCUUUAAGAAACACGUGGCUCAGUUUUGGGUGAAACCACCCAGAUGCUAUGAGUGUCCAUUAGUUUUAAAAGAUAAUACCUGUUUCCAAGGCCAGCAUUACUGCCGAACAAGUGGAUUCUGUUACACAAGAAGCUGUUCCAAAGGGAGUCUAAUUAGGAAGAUCAAGCGAGGCUGCACCUGGGACUGCAAGCACUUCAUCAAGUUUCAUAAAGGCAUUACACAGCGUACCUGGUGCUGCAGUGAGGACUACUGCAACAUUCAUGAUGCUUGGCGGGGCAAUCACUAAAUAUCUCCUGGAUUUGUUGGAUAGCCUCAAGUCUGCAGCUUUUGGCUAUGUGCUCAACACUUCCGUAUGAUUUUCCUCCAGCAACAUAUAGAGAGAUGGGUGAUCAAUAAAAUACUUUUGUAAUGUUUAUUGUAUAGGGGU
RNAcentral lists this long non-coding RNA (471 nucleotides) under Pogona vitticeps (central bearded dragon). Its description in RNAcentral is "lncRNA (ENSPVIG00000018586.1)". The record is from RNAcentral. Lineage: Eukaryota; Metazoa; Chordata; Lepidosauria; Squamata; Agamidae.